RNAcentral lists this ribosomal RNA (557 nucleotides) under Priestia megaterium. RNAcentral's name for it is "bacterial SSU rRNA". It matches the Rfam family "Bacterial small subunit ribosomal RNA", at positions 57 to 596 of the family's 1533-position model. Lineage: Bacteria; Bacillati; Bacillota; Bacilli; Caryophanales; Bacillaceae. The record is from RNAcentral.
GCAGGUCGAGCGACUGAUUAGAAGCUUGCUUCUAUGACGUUAGCGGCGGACGGGUGAGUAACACGUGGGCAACCUGCCUGUAAGACUGGGAUAACUUCGGGAAACCGAAGCUAAUACCGGAUAGGAUCUUCUCCUUCAUGGGAGAUGAUUGAAAGAUGGUUUCGGCUAUCACUUACAGAUGGGCCCGCGGUGCAUUAGCUAGUUGGUGAGGUAACGGCUCACCAAGGCAACGAUGCAUAGCCGACCUGAGAGGGUGAUCGGCCACACUGGGACUGAGACACGGCCCAGACUCCUACGGGAGGCAGCAGUAGGGAAUCUUCCGCAAUGGACGAAAGUCUGACGGAGCAACGCCGCGUGAGUGAUGAAGGCUUUCGGGUCGUAAAACUCUGUUGUUAGGGAAGAACAAGUACAAGAGUAACUGCUUGUACCUUGACGGUACCUAACCAGAAAGCCACGGCUAACUACGUGCCAGCAGCCGCGGUAAUACGUAGGUGGCAAGCGUUAUCCGGAAUUAUUGGGCGUAAAGCGCGCGCAGGCGGUUUCUUAAGUCUGAUGUG